Suricata suricatta (meerkat) is the source of this 460-nucleotide long non-coding RNA. RefSeq lists it as uncharacterized. The record is from RefSeq and is a predicted model, not a curated record. Lineage: Eukaryota; Metazoa; Chordata; Mammalia; Carnivora; Herpestidae. The transcript is spliced from 3 exons.
GAUUGCCUCUGUGUCCAGUUCUCAUGUGUAUCUCCAAAGCCUAGCACUGAUCCCAGCACAUGAGAGAAAAACCGAGAAUCAGGGAAGGAGUAGACUCGCUCAGGGUCAUGCAGCUUGAGGGACUGUGCUGGCCUGAAGUAAAUUUCUCUACAAAUUUCAAGUGAAUGCUUGAAAUGGAGCAAAGUCCACUGCAACGCAACACUUGUCUCUGCCCUGCGCACGGGGCCCAUCUCAAACAAAGGUGGGCAAAGCUGUGCCCUCUGGGCGUGUUCCUCUGGAGCUUUCUCAGGUUGGUCUGCUGCAGGUAGUAAGGUGUCACGAUCUUUAUUUUUGCGCUUUUUGUAAUAGUAUGCAUGCUCUGAAAACCAGGCUUUUCACUGAUCCCGAAGUCAUGCAACUCCACAUUUUACACAAUUGGAAAGUUUGGACUUGGCUCGUUGUCUUAUGAUGGAGUUUUACU